Molecule: non-coding RNA, 125 nt
Organism: Lonchura striata (white-rumped munia)
Lineage: Eukaryota; Metazoa; Chordata; Aves; Passeriformes; Estrildidae
Source: RefSeq, a predicted model, not a curated record
CCAUGACACUUACAGGCUGUAAUUGGGGGCUACUACACUCUGCUGGUGAAGAUGCAGGCAGCUCUGCCUUCACAGCAGCAGCUUCCGAGGAGAGAAACAAUCCUGUUUGCUUGGUAUGGCAGGAG